Molecule: long non-coding RNA, 739 nt
Filed under: Olea europaea subsp. europaea
Lineage: Eukaryota; Viridiplantae; Streptophyta; Magnoliopsida; Lamiales; Oleaceae
Source: RNAcentral
AAAUAAUAUGAUCACGGAUAAAUUUUAUGAUACACUUUUGGGUGAUCUCCUUUAAAGGUAUCGUUUUUACCCAUUUAGUGAAAAAAUCAGUUGCAACUAUAACAAAAGUAUGUUGCUUGAACGAUGGAGGAUAAAUAUUCCCUAUCAGGUCUAUCGCCCAACCCUUGAACGGCCAGAAUUUGAUAAUGGGUGCCAUCUCUCUCGCUGGCGCCUUUUGUAUUGGACCAUGCUUUUGGUAUGCUAGACAACUCUUCGCGUGUUGAACACAUGAUUCUCCCAUCUUGGGCAAAAAAUAUCCAUUCCUAAUAAUUAAUCAUCUCAUCUUUUGGCCAGCUUGAUGAGCUCCACAUAUCCCUUCAUGCACUUCAGCCAUGAUUGUUCUAACUUCUUGCAAACUUACACAUUUUAGUAAUAUACCAUCAGAGCGUUUCUUAAACAACUCUUCAUCUAUCAAUAUAUAGUUUAGCAAACGCAACUUCAUCUUUCUAUUACCUCCUUUAUUAGGUUCUUUAAGGAACUUUUUAAUCUCUGCCCUUCAAUCUAUUGCAUCUCCAUCUUGUAUGUAAUGAAUUUCAAUCAUUCUCGCCCUUCUUUGGACUACGGGCAAUAUUAUUCCAUAUUCAUAAGUAGAUUUUCAAUUUAAAGCCUUUGAAUACCCUGAGGCCAUCUAGGCCAACUCAUUUGCUAUGUCAUUAUAUAUCCUAUUAACACAUUAAAGCUCUACUUGGUCGAAUUCUCC